GACGAACGCUGGCGGCGUGCCUAAUACAUGCAAGUAGAACGCACAGUUUAUACCGUAGCUUGCUACACCAUAGACUGUGAGUUGCGAACGGGUGAGUAACGCGUAGGUAACCUGCCUGGUAGCGGGGGAUAACUAUUGGAAACGAUAGCUAAUACCGCAUAAUAUUGAUUAUUGCAUGAUAAUUAAUUGAAAGGUGCAAUUGCACCACUACCAGAUGGCCCUGCGUUGUAUUAGCUAGUAGGUGAGGUAACGGCUCACCUAGGCGACGAUACAUAGCCGACCUGAGAGGGUGAUCGGCCACACUGGGACUGAGACACGGCCCAGACUCCUACGGGAGGCAGCAGUAGGGAAUCUUCGGCAAUGGACGAAAGUCUGACCGAGCAACGCCGCGUGAGUGAAGAAGGUUUUCGGAUCGUAAAGCUCUGUUGUAAGAGAAGAACGGGUGUGAGAGUGGAAAGUUCACACUGUGACGGUAUCUUACCAGAAAGGGACGGCUAACUACGUG
This 505-nucleotide ribosomal RNA is filed under the name uncultured bacterium. RNAcentral's name for it is "partial 16S ribosomal RNA". It matches the Rfam family "Bacterial small subunit ribosomal RNA", at positions 28 to 507 of the family's 1533-position model. The record is from RNAcentral.